RNAcentral lists this ribosomal RNA (492 nucleotides) under uncultured bacterium. RNAcentral describes it as "partial 16S ribosomal RNA". It matches the Rfam family "Bacterial small subunit ribosomal RNA", at positions 29 to 507 of the family's 1533-position model. The record is from RNAcentral.
AGUGAACGCUGGCGGUAGGCCUAACACAUGCAAGUCGAACGGCAGCACAGUAAGAGCUUGCUCUUACGGGUGGCGAGUGGCGGACGGGUGAGGAAUACAUCGGAAUCUACUUUUUCGUGGGGGAUAACGUAGGGAAACUUACGCUAAUACCGCAUACCACCUACGGGUGAAAGCAGGGGAUCUUCGGACCUUGCGCGAUUGAAUGAGCCGAUGUCGGAUUAGCUAGUUGGCGGGGUAAAGGCCCACCAAGGCGACGAUCCGUAGCUGGUCUGAGAGGAUGAUCAGCCACACUGGAACUGAGACACGGUCCAGACUCCUACGGGGGGCAGCAGUGGGGAAUAUUGGACAAUGGGCGCAAGCCUGAUCCAGCCAUACCACGUGGGUGAAGAAGUCCUUCGGGUUGUAGAGCCCUUUUGUUGGGAAAGAAAAGCAGCAGGUUAAUACCCCGCUGUUCUGACGGUACCCAAAGAAUAAGCACCGGCUAACUUCGUG